This 469-nucleotide long non-coding RNA is filed under the name Haliotis rufescens (red abalone). RNAcentral describes it as "uncharacterized LOC125383476, transcript variant X1". Lineage: Eukaryota; Metazoa; Mollusca; Gastropoda; Lepetellida; Haliotidae. The record is from RNAcentral.
GAUGGUUUAACCAUUGCCACAGGUGUUGUUACAGGGUGGUUUAACCAUUGCCACAGGUGUUGUUACAGGGUGGUUUAACCAUUGCCACAGGUGUUGUUACAGGGUGGUUUAACCAUUGCCACAGGUGUUGUUACAGGGUGGUUUAACCAUUGCCACAGGUGUUAUUACAGGGUGGUUUAACCAUUGCCUUAGGUGUUGUUACAAGGUGCUUUAACCAUUGCCACAGGUGUUGUUACAGGGUGGUUUAACCAUUGCCACAGGUGUAACAGGGUGGUUUAACCAUUGUCACAGGUGUUACAGGGUGGUUUACACAGGUGUUGUUACAGGGUGGUUUAACCAUUGCCACAGGUGUAACAGGGUGGUUUAACCAUUGUCACAGGUGUUACAGGGUGGUUUAACCAUUGUCACAGGUGUUACAGGGUGGUUUACACAGGUGUUGUUACAGGGUGGUUUAACCAUUGCCACAGGU